CUACGGGGCGCUCCAGUGGGGAAUAUUGGGCAAUGGGCGCAAGCCUGACCCAGCAACGCCGCGUGAGGGAAGAAGGUUUUCGGAUUGUAAACCUCUGUCCUUGGGGACGAAGAAGUGACGGUACCCAAGGAGGAAGCUCCGGCUAACUACGUGCCAGCAGCCGCGGUAAUACGUAGGGAGCAAGCGUUGUCCGGAAUUACUGGGCGUAAAGGGUGCGUAGGCGGCAUAUUAAGUCAGGUGUGAAAUACUCGGGCUCAACCCGGGGGCUGCAUUUGGAACUGAUAUGCUUGAGUGUGAGAGAGGAAAGUGGAAUUCCUAGUGUAACGGUGGAAUGCGUAGAUAUUAGGAGGAACACCAGUGGCGAAGGCGACUUUCUGGCUCAUAACUGACGCUGAGGCACGAAAGCGUGGGGAGCAAACAGGAUUAGAUACCCUCGUAGUC
Molecule: ribosomal RNA, 441 nt
Filed under: uncultured bacterium
Lineage: Bacteria
Description: partial 16S ribosomal RNA
Rfam family: Bacterial small subunit ribosomal RNA
Source: RNAcentral